AUUGAACGCUGGCGGCAGGCCUAGCACAUGCAAGUCGAACGGUAACAGGAAACAGCUUGCUGUUUCGCUGACGAGUGGCGGACGGGUGAGUAAUGUCUGGGAAACUGCCUGAUGGAGGGGGAUAACUACUGGAAACGGUAGCUAAUACCGCAUAACGUCGCAAGACCAAAGAGGGGGACCCUCGGGCCUCUUGCCAUCGGAUGUGCCCAGAUGGGAUUAGCCUGUUGGUGGGGUAACGGCUCACCAAGGCGACGAUCCCUAGCUGGUCUGAGAGGAUGACCAGCCACACUGGAACUGAGACACGGUCCAGACUCCUACGGGAGGCAGCAGUGGGGAAUAUUGCACAAUGGGCGCAAGCCUGAUGCAGCCAUGCCGCGUGUAUGAAGAAGGCCUUCGGGUUGUAAAGUACUUUCAGCGGGGAGGAAGGGAGUAAAGUUAAUACCUUUGCUCAUUGACGUUACCCGCAGAAGAAGCACCGGCUAACUCCGUG
Molecule: ribosomal RNA, 490 nt
Filed under: uncultured bacterium
Lineage: Bacteria
Description: partial 16S ribosomal RNA
Rfam family: Bacterial small subunit ribosomal RNA
Source: RNAcentral